Molecule: ribosomal RNA, 459 nt
Filed under: uncultured bacterium
Lineage: Bacteria
Description: partial 16S ribosomal RNA
Rfam family: Bacterial small subunit ribosomal RNA
Source: RNAcentral
CCUACGGGAGGCAGCAGUGAGGAAUAUUGGUCAAUGGGCGAGAGCCUGAACCAGCCAAGUCGCGUGAGGGAGUACUGCCCUAUGGGUUGUAAACCUCUUUUAUAAGGGAAUAAAGUGUGGGACGUGUCCUAUUUUGUAUGUACCUUAUGAAUAAGGAUCGGCUAACUCCGUGCCAGCAGCCGCGGUAAUACGGAGGAUGCGAGCGUUAUCCGGAUUUAUUGGGUUUAAAGGGUGCGCAGGCGGCCUGUUAAGUCAGCGGUAAAAGCCCGGGGCUCAACCCCGGCGAGCCGUUGAAACUGGCGGGCUGGAGUUGGAGAGAAGUACGCGGAAUGCGCGGUGUAGCGGUGAAAUGCUUAGAUAUCGCGCAGAACCCCGAUUGCGAAGGCAGCGUACCGGCUCCACACUGACGCUGAGGCACGAAAGCGUGGGUAUCGAACAGGAUUAGAUACCCGAGUAGUC